Oryzias melastigma (Indian medaka) is the source of this 1087-nucleotide long non-coding RNA. RefSeq lists it as uncharacterized. The record is from RefSeq and is a predicted model, not a curated record. Lineage: Eukaryota; Metazoa; Chordata; Actinopteri; Beloniformes; Adrianichthyidae. The transcript is spliced from 2 exons.
AAGGUCAGGGAGACUUGAUUUAGCUUAGUUUCACACUGCGUUUGAGAGAGUGAACUCUCUACAGUUACAAUAACAGCUUGUUCGCGAGUAGAGCUGAACUUAAUGAACAACAACCACAAAACCAUAAGUAUAAAGAACUAAAUCCAUCAAGACGGUAAUGUUUAUUAUUUAAUGAUUGAGCACCAACAACAGAGUUUUUUUUGCUACAAGCCAAGUUGGAUACAAAAACUGAACUUAAAAACAAAAAUCUAACCUCCAGCAAUUGUCUAUUUACAUAUUAGAUUAGAAUUUUUUGAUACGGCUCAAGAUUCUUAAGCCAAAAUGUUCAUCAAAUGUUUCUAACUUAAAUUGACAGGCAUAUGUUAUAUUUCCUGGUGCAUCUUGGAAGGAACUUUAGCUCUGGUGUUGACACUCUUUGAAUUAUCGUAACUCAUUGACUAUUUACAUAAUUGACGUAACUCCAAAGGAUUCUGAGGCUGAGAACACCCAGCCUUUCACUGAUAUGCAACAAAAGUGUUGCAUGUGCAAUCUGCAAAGCUCGUAAGCAUAAUCUUAUAAUCCACAUUUCAAACAGGAAAGCUUAGUUGUGUUUGUUCUAAAACUUUACGACACAGAAGUAACCUUUUCAAUUACAGCUUAAAAUAGUCUAUUGAAAAAAAGAGAAAAAAAAAACAUAUUGUCUUUUUCAGAGUGUUUUAAGAUGUUCAACCCACUUAAAAUAUGUGUUUACGUGUAUUUUCAUUAAAUCAGUUUUUUGUUUGUUUGUCAACUUGGAAAUUUGAAACAAUUAAAGAACUCUAAUAAGUAGUUCCUACCUGAAGAUUUUCCAAAUUUACGAAAUAUUAUGAUUAACAGUUAAUCAGAUUUGGUGGAAAACUGGUCAAUGCACAUGAGAGAUUAAAAAAAAUCUGUUUCAUUUUAUAUAAAGAGAUGCAUUCAACUCAUUGAUUGCAUUUCAGAGCAACGCACAAAAUCUGUCAUACAUUUGAUGUGGGGGCUAAAAGAAACCACAUUUUGUUUUGUGGCAUCUGAUUGGCCAGUUUAUAACUUGAAUAACUUUCAAUUAAAAAAAAAAAAUAAAAAAAAA